CCUACGGGAGGCAGCAGUGAGGAAUAUUGGGCAAUGGACGAGAGUCUGAACCAGCCAAGUAGCGUGAAGGAUGACUGCCCUAUGGGUUGUAAACUUCUUUUAUAUGGGAAUAAAACGUUCCACGUGUGGGAUUUUGUAUGUACCAUAUGAAUAAGGGUCGGCUAACUCCGUUCCAGCAGCCGCGGUAAUACGGAGGAUCCGAGCGUUAUCCGGAUUUAUUGGGUUUAAAGGGAGCGUAGGUGGAGUGUUAAGUCAGUUGUGAAAGUUUGCGGCUCAACCGUAAAAUUGCAGUUGAAACUGGCAGUCUGGAGUACAGUAGAGGUGGGCGGAAUUCGUGGUGUAGCGGUGAAAUGCUUAGAUAUCACGAAGAACUCCGAUUGCGAAGGCAGUUCACUGGACUGCAACUGACACUGAGGCUCGAAAGUGUGGGUAUCAAACAGGAUUAGAUACCCUUGUAGUC
Molecule: ribosomal RNA, 460 nt
Filed under: uncultured bacterium
Lineage: Bacteria
Description: partial 16S ribosomal RNA
Rfam family: Bacterial small subunit ribosomal RNA
Source: RNAcentral